Long non-coding RNA from Leptidea sinapis, 1637 nucleotides. RefSeq lists it as uncharacterized. The record is from RefSeq and is a predicted model, not a curated record. NCBI's taxonomy places the organism in Eukaryota, Metazoa, Arthropoda, Insecta, Lepidoptera, Pieridae. The transcript is spliced from 2 exons.
ACGCUUCGUGUUAUUUUACAUUGAAAUUAAUAAAAUACAAAAUAUAUACUGAUCUCAGUGUCUUUCUUAUUUCUUGUAGUAUUUACAAAGUUUUACUACGCAACCUGGCAUUUUAGUUUCAAUUAUUAUCAAAGUUUAACAGAACAUGUGGCACGUCAACGUCACAUAUUGUUCGAGACUGGCUUGAGUACGCCCACUUGGGCGUAGUAUUAGUUGCCGCACUUUGCGACUACGCCUGCGGUAUCUUUCUACCUUAAUCUAAGGUUUAUUAAGAGAAAAAUAUUUCGGAGUAAUGCCAAGGCCUUUUUUGUUUCCAAUUUUAAGUUCAAGCAUGAAAACUUUAUUGCACGUUACCCCUUAAAUAAACGACUGUAAGUUGGCGACUAAGCUUAUCUUUUAUAGCUUUAUAACUUCUAAGUAUAGUUUUUGUAACCUCGGACUAAGAAAAUAAGAUGGAGGGAGAAUCUCCGGGACGAUUUGCGAGCACAGACAGAAAAAUCUAGAAAUUUCAUAUAUUAAUUAUUAUAGAAUUUUAAUAGAUCCGAUAGCUCGUCCAGCGCCUACAGAAUAAAUCAAGGCUUGGAAACCAGAAAAAAAUCGAACUGUAUCGUAACAUAUAGAACUUUUUAUUUGGCUUUGUUAUACUUUCGAACCAAAAUGUUAGGGUUUUUGCUCACAUCAUUUACGGCCGUUCCCAAUAAACUAUCUACAGAUAGAGAUAAAAUACUACCGUCUACUAUCAGUAAUAAGCUGUCAAUAAUCUGAACCUGUCCCAAUAUACCCGAUAAGUCAUUCUUAUCGCCUUAUAUUGGGACGCGUAAUUUGCAAUUUCCAUACAAACUUCUAUCGCUGGUGAGUUAUACGUCCUCCCAAUGACAGACAACGUGUACGGAUAAGGUGAGUUACCGUCGAUAAGUUUAUUGGGACAGAAAUGUCAACGAUAGUUACGAUUUUUAUCUCAAGCAGGAGAUAGACUGAAUAUUGGGAACGGCCGUUAUACGUCUAGAUAGUCGGUGACAGCUGUGAAUACGUCAAAAAACGUGAGUUUAGAGCUAACCUCUAUUUGGAGCAAUGCACACUAACACAAAAUGUCAUACAAAUCGCGAGUGUAAGACGUAGCUUGUCACGCACACUAAACUAAUAUUCCUGGCCUAUUUUUAUCGGUUGUCUAACAGCAAGAGACUAUCUAGACGUAUUAUCUAAGGGUUAUUUGUUAUUUAUUUUUUAUAAUGAGUUUGUUGAAUAUACAACAACAUUACAACCUUUUUAGUAAAGCUUUUACCAUCGCCGAAUCAUUUGUCAAAGCACAGUUCCAAUUUUAGUGAUAUUAAGUUCAUAUUUGUUUAACAAGACCGCACCAAACGCGCGCUCAGUAUUAUUUAAGUAGCUCACUCGUUUAUUCUCCAUUCGUGCGGAUUAAAUCGGUUAACGAGUGUUAUAAAAUCGGAACGUAGGUAAUAAGACAUAUACGCACUGAUUUAAAACCGUUCCAAGCCGGAGAAAAUAUAUAAAUUAUAGUUUCUACUCUAAUCUUAUUUUGUUCGGGGCAGAAAUAAUUAGACACAGGAAUUGUUAAAUGUUGUUAGAAAAUGCUUAAAAUCUGUUUGGCAAUUGAAAUAAAAUAUUUCACUCGGUAA